Molecule: ribosomal RNA, 253 nt
Filed under: uncultured bacterium
Lineage: Bacteria
Description: partial 16S ribosomal RNA
Rfam family: Bacterial small subunit ribosomal RNA
Source: RNAcentral
UACGGAGGGUGCGAGCGUUACCCGGAUUUACUGGGAGUAAAGGGCGUGUAGGCGGUCUCUCAAGUCCGAUGCUAAAGACCGAAGCUCAACUUCGGGGGUGCGUUGGAUACUGUGAGGCUAGACGGUCGGAGAGGGUAGCGGAAUUUCCGGAGUAGCGGUGAAAUGGGCAGAUACCGGAAGGAACGCCAAUAGCGAAGACAGCUACCUGGACGAUUUGUGACGCUGAGGCGCGAAAGCGUGGGGAGCGAACCGG